RNAcentral lists this long non-coding RNA (327 nucleotides) under Gallus gallus (chicken). The record is from RNAcentral. Lineage: Eukaryota; Metazoa; Chordata; Aves; Galliformes; Phasianidae.
GCGGGAGAGGUGUUCCUGGCGCUUGGCUCCAACGUCUGCAGAGAGGCCUGUGGCAUUAGAAAGAGCCAGGGACUCCAUGGAGCCACGGGGAGUCUGCUCGGUGGGCGUCAGGUCCUCUGUGAACUUCAGGGCGUUGAUGGGGUGCCGGGUGCGGCACUGCGGGGUGGGCAUCCCGCCUUCCUCUUCCUCUUCGUAUUUGGGGACUUUGAGGCUUCCCCGGGUCUCGGGGAAGCUCUGGUUGGACAUGUCGCUGUAGCUCUCCUGAGAGCGAAGCCUCCCCGAGUAGUAGUCCUCUCUGCAGUCCUGGAUGAAGCUGCCUCCGUGCCC